GUCGUCGCCGCCAGCCAUCCUCCCCUUCGCCCCGUCAUCUCCCACUCGCUCCACCCCUCUCGCAGUCGUCACCGCCAGCCAUCUCGUAGGAUGGAGACGCUGGCCGCCUCCAUCUCCUCUUUGUCGCCGUCUGACCCAGAUGCGGCCGCAGUCUGCCGGCGCCGCAGGCGGAGGAGACGCGCCUAGGAGGAGCCUUCGGCAGCCGCCGCCGCCGCGCCCUCCUCCUCCUUCCACCUUCUAGCCGGCGCCCAACCACCGCGCCCUCUCCCUCCCCCUACCGCCGGCCUCUCCCUAGGUGGCGGCCAGAUCUGCCACGGCCACAGCCACGGCGAGGGCUUCUGGAUCCGCGCCGCCGUCGAGCUGGACGCGACCAUCAACCUCGGACCACACCGCCGCCGCCAUGGAUGCACCAUAUCAAGGAAUUGCAAGAAAAUCAUGAGGAAUUUCUUUCAGGUCGCAAUGGCUGACAAAGAGCUUCAGGUUCAUGGUUCACCAGGUUCUGCUGGCUCCACUAACAGUUGCCUGCAAGCACUUGCAUAGUUAUUCCCCCUCUCCUACAAAUGAGAUCAAUUUGGCAUGGGUAUGCGUACAGUUGGAAUGAGGCGCCAUGGGAAGGAUUCAAAUCUCUGAGAAGUGUGCUAAAUCAAUAGUGCCAAUCGGUUCAGUUUCAGCUUCAAAAACAUUGGGUGAUUGAAAAUGGCAUGCUAUAUUUCUGCAACAAGGCUCCCUAAAUAUUCCCUAUGUUCUAAACUGGAUUCUGACAAGGGUGUACACCCUGCUAUUUGGUCAGAAGUCUGGGAGUUCAUACUUGGUUGUUUGAUCUCGAGAACACCUUUGAUGACCACGGGCAAAUUGGGCGAACCAGAAGGUUUGUACUUGGCUUUAUCAGAAUUAGAAUAUGCAGAACAUGUGUUGGAGAAGUGCCCAUUUGGUUUUAUGAAAUAAUAUUCAGUCAGUUUAAAGUUA
Molecule: non-coding RNA, 966 nt
Organism: Triticum urartu
Lineage: Eukaryota; Viridiplantae; Streptophyta; Magnoliopsida; Poales; Poaceae
Source: RefSeq, a predicted model, not a curated record